This 3587-nucleotide long non-coding RNA is filed under the name Elaeis guineensis (African oil palm). Its description in RNAcentral is "long non-coding RNA (EGUI_LNC005739)". The record is from RNAcentral. Lineage: Eukaryota; Viridiplantae; Streptophyta; Magnoliopsida; Arecales; Arecaceae.
UGGGCAAAUGAAGAGGGGUUGCUGCAUUUUAUGGUGGCAUGUCCACCAUAUUUUUUCAAAAUUAUUUGGUCAAGAAUGGAUCUUAGGUGACUGGAUUUCAAUCAAUUAGGAUUAAUAGGCAAAAGUUGAUCCAACAAAAGUUAAUUUAAAGUAUCCAAAAUUUUCCUCUUAGACGGAAAAAAUGUAGAAUGAGAGCACUGUAUGCCUGUUUGUGUAGGGAUGCUGCUAAAUCUAAUUACAUAAAGUUGAUCUGCGUAUCAAAACCACACGUAAGUAAAGUCAUUAUUGUUGUCUCUGAUCAUUGCCAACAGGUUGCCAACUCAAGAAGCAACGGAAAGACCUAAGACUUCUGUCUGUUUUUCUUAAAAAGAAAGCUUUUGGAAAGAGCUAAGAUUUCUGUAUUAAAAUUUUUUUUUGAAAUCCUUUUGGUAUAUUCUUAGCCAUUUAUAAAUUAUCAUCUUGGCCCACCCAAGGUCACCAGUCCUCGAGGUGCACGGCAUGGUGUUCUUUGGCUUUCUCCAAAGGCCAGCAAGCUGAGUUGCCGAUAUCCUUGUGAUGUAAUCAUAACAUGCAAAAGUGUAGCGUCCAACGUGAAGCAUGAUUGCAUACAUACAUAAAUUUUGUCUGGCCCAUGGAACUAACACCAAUGACAGGGAGGAAGCCUUUGUUGGAAAUGUUCAAAAUAAGUGCAUAUGGCUAGCUCAUGAAGCAUGAGUGUGAGUGGUUAGAGAGAGUGAGAGAGAGAGCUACCUAAUUCUAAACAUGAAGCAUAGGAAGUAGUCNNNNNNNNNNNNNNNNNNNNAGGGAGAGAGCUGCCUAAUUCUAAAUAUGAAGCAUGGGUAUAAGUGGGUUGACUUAGACCGCUACCUAACUCAGAUUUUGACCUAUUCAUUCUUGAGUCGAGAUUACCACAUAGAUUAACUUGUGACAACAAUGACCACUGUUUUAAAUCUAAUUUAAGAUUUACUACUUUCAAUAUUGAUUUUGUUUUGUUGUGACUAAGGGUUUUUAAAGGAUCAGUCACUUAUUUUGACUAUUCGAUGUGAACGGUUACUAUUUGCAUCUGUUUAUUUUUUACAAACGAGACUACAGAGCUUGUGAGAAAGUUAACAUAUACAGACAAAGCUCUUAUAAACAAUCUAUUAAAGCUCCUUUGCUUUCAACAACUUGUUUUUUUCUCAUUUUUUUGGUUGGGUGCUUUGGUUCACAACAUCUUUAAGGAGUGCAGUGCUUGGAGAUCUUAAAGUUAGGCAUCCUAUCCUGGAAAUAGGAAUCACUAUCUUAAAGAAAGCAGUAUAAUUAGCGUGCCUUGGCUAACCAAAGCCUUCUUUGUUCCUAUUGCUUUAAUUCUUCUCCAUUCCACUUUAGUCUAUACCCAAUUGUCCAACAUCAGAAGGGAGGGAAAGAAGAUGAAACGCAGAGGGGAGGGAAUUCCAUAAUUUCUUUAGAGCUUAGCCCUUGACGCAGAGAUCCAUGAAGAAUCUAGAGAUCAGACCGAGCUCCAUAGAGCCUCAGCUGAUUUUGAGGAAUCCUGAAGAUGCAGGCAUGUAGUUCAAUGUAAUUGCUUUAAAGAAGAGUCAUGCUGAUUAAACUGUGUCAAAAGAAUGAGUUGGCGGUGCGAUGUUUAAGCUCAGCUUGUUUUCUGCAUGAGCAUUUAUGAAGCCAAAUUUUGGGCCAAAUGCAGUCUGUUAAACAGAUCACUCGUUCAUUUGGCAACUCUAUUCUGAUUGUUUGACGUCCUUAUCCAGUUUUGGUUGACCAAAUAUCGCGAAUCGUAGGAUUGCCUUUUUUCUUUAAACAUUAGAACGCAUUCGUGAUAUAGAGGGAGAGAGACCUGGUGUAGACUCUAACUGUGUAUUGAUGGUUGUCGUAAAGGAGGUGAAGGUGAGAUUAAGGGCUUGUUCAUUUUCUAGUUGAAGAUACAUGAACCUGCUUGCUCUAGUAAGAAUUAAUUCUGAGGCAUUAUGAUGUUGAAAAAAAGACCUUCGGGGACUAGUCCAAACCUGCAUAGUUACACCAUCCAUUCUACAGGCAUCCAUUUUUUCUGCUGCUCAGAGCUCAGUCAGAACUUCACAAUGACUACAGGAGCCAGCUUAUAUUCACCAGGAUCAGUCCAUAUCCUACGGUCCUGGUAAACAAGCUCCGACCAAAUUGACUCAGUAAAAUUGUUUGUUUUUGUGAUUAGAAGACUCUCAUCUUCCUCUUUUUCCUUUUAUUCUCUUUUCUUAGUGUGAUCCUUUUCUGGAACUUCUAGAAGUUCUAAGACAAGUAGAUUUGAUGCAUCAAGUUUGAACUUCAAACUAAAUUUGGCUUAAUUUGUCAAAAUUUCAGCUUGGAAUGAUACAGUUGAAGAAGCAUGCCAGAAUGGCAUUGCAGUUAUUGCAGAACCAGGAGGGAGUAUUAGGGAUCAGGAUGCUGUGGACUGCUGUAAUAAGUAUGGUGUUUCUCUUCUUUUCACAAAUGUGAGGCACUUCAGGCACUGAAGGUGAAAUAAUAUGAACCCUGCUGUGCAAAAGAAUGCCUUGAAGGUACAAAUAAGGUUCUGUUAAGAUUAAGUGCGCAAGCCAAGGCUUUUGGGAAUAACCUAGAUUUUUGGUUAAUUUGAAUCGAAACCGGAGAUUCUAAUCCGGUAUGCUGAAAUUAAUUAAAUUUUGUUGGGCCUUAAAUUUCUUUAGGAUGCUUUUCUUUUUCAUAUCUAAGUUAUCGAUCACAAAUGUUUUGAGUAUGAAAAUUUGGUGUGCGAGUCACUUUUGGCAAUAAUCCAUUGCACAUGAUUUCUCCUCUCGACGAAAAAUAUUCGGUCAGCAGGUGACUUAAAUAGUUUGCAUCUUCAUGAAGUUUAUGUCAAUUUUGUUGAGAAAUAUCUUAUGGCACAGCUGGGUCAUGUAGAUUUUGGAUUUUGCCAAUGGUAAUCCGAAUUGGUCCUAAUCCACAUGAUGUAUAUCCCUAUGAGUCUCUGACUCUGUCCUACCAUGAGACAAUACCCCAUAGCCUCUGGGCCAGCAAGAUUAAUGCUUUCUUCUUCUUCUUCUUCUUCUUAUUUAUUUAUUUAUUUAUUUUUAUUUAUUUUUCUUAAGAACAAGAUUAAUGUUUGUUGGUUAGCUUUACCUCCGCUCUGGUCAAAUGAAGGGAGGUUGCUGCAUUUUAAGGUGGCAUGUCCACCAUAUUUUUCCAAAAUUAUUUGGUCAAGAAUGGAUCUUUGGUGACUGGAUUUCAAUCAAUUAGGAUUAAUAGGCAAAAGUUGAUCCAACAAAAGUUAAUUUAAAGUCUCCAAAAUUUUCCUCUUAGAGGGGAAAAAUGUAGAAUGAGAGCACUGUAUGCCUGUUUCUGUACGGAUGCUGCUAAAUCUAAUUACAUAAAGUUGAUCUGCGUAUCAGAACCACACGUAAGUAAAGUCAUUAUUGUUGUCUCUGAUCAUUGCCAACAGGUUGCCAACUCGAGAAGCAACGGAAAGACCUAAGACUUCUGUCUGUUUUUCUUAAAAAGAAAGCUUUUGGAAAGAGCUAAGAUUUCUGUAUUAAAAUUUUUUUUCGAAAUCCUUUUGGUAUAUUCUUAUCCAUUUAUAAAUUAUCAUCUUGGCCCACCCA